GUGAAUCAUCGAAUUUUUGAACGCAAAUUGCACUCUCUUCGGGGAGUAUGCCUGUUUGAGGGUCAGCCUAUAAAAAAUCGACAUCGUUGCUGUUUCGCGGUGGCGUUCGUCGGAAAUUGGGUUAUCUUAAAUCCUUUUGGGUUUUAAGCGACUUAAAAUCUUCUUUUUGGUUCCAUGAACGUUUCUAAGAUUUAUUUCUUUACACGUUUAAGGUAUCGCUUUUUAUUAGACGUGACCUUCAUGUCGAAUCGCGUCCAUAAUCUUUCCUUAACUGCCCUCAGU
RNAcentral lists this unclassified non-coding RNA (282 nucleotides) under Glomeraceae sp. RNAcentral describes it as "partial contains 5.8S ribosomal RNA and internal transcribed spacer 2". The stretch from base 1 to 65 matches the Rfam family "5.8S ribosomal RNA", at positions 84 to 154 of the family's 154-position model. The record is from RNAcentral. Lineage: Eukaryota; Fungi; Glomeromycota; Glomeromycetes; Glomerales; Glomeraceae.